RNAcentral lists this ribosomal RNA (497 nucleotides) under uncultured bacterium. Its description in RNAcentral is "partial 16S ribosomal RNA". It matches the Rfam family "Bacterial small subunit ribosomal RNA", at positions 28 to 507 of the family's 1533-position model. The record is from RNAcentral.
GAUGAACGCUGGCGGCGUGCCUAAUACAUGCAAGUCGAGCGAACGGACGAGAAGCUUGCUUCUCUGAUGUUAGCGGCGGACGGGUGAGUAACACGUGGAUAACCUACCUAUAAGACUGGGAUAACUUCGGGAAACCGGAGCUAAUCCCGGAUAAUAUUUUGAACCGCAUGGUUCAAAAGUGAAAGACGGUCUUGCUGUCACUUAUAGCUGGAUCCGCGCUGCAUUAGCUAGUUGGUAAGGUAACGGCUUACCAAGGCAACGAUGCGUAGCCGACCUGAGAGGGUGAUCGGCCACACGGGAACUGAGACACGGUCCAGACGCCUACGGGAGGCAGCAGUAGGGAAUCUGCCGCAAUAGGCGAGAGCCUGACGGAGCAACGCGGCGUGAGUGAUGAAGGUCUUCGGAUCGUAAAGCUCUGUUUUUAGUGGAGAACAGAUGUGUAAGUAACUGUGCAGAUCGUGACGGUACCUAAUCAGAAAGCAACGGCUAACUACGUG